RNAcentral lists this transfer RNA (74 nucleotides) under Lentisphaeria bacterium. RNAcentral describes it as "tRNA-Gln". It matches the Rfam family "tRNA". From Rfam's summary of the family: Transfer RNA (tRNA) molecules are approximately 80 nucleotides in length. Lineage: Bacteria; Pseudomonadati; Lentisphaerota; Lentisphaeria. The record is from RNAcentral. RNAcentral also lists the same sequence under 1 other name.
UGCCCUGUGGUGUAAUGGUAGCACAGCAGAUUCUGAUUCUGCUUGUAAUGGUUCAAAUCCAUUCAGGGUAACCA